This 247-nucleotide ribosomal RNA is filed under the name uncultured bacterium. Its description in RNAcentral is "partial 16S ribosomal RNA". It matches the Rfam family "Bacterial small subunit ribosomal RNA", at positions 523 to 769 of the family's 1533-position model. The record is from RNAcentral.
AUACGUAGGGAGCGAGCGUUGUCCGGAAUUACUGGGUGUAAAGGGCGUGUAGGCGGGCUGUCAAGUCAGAUGUGAAAUUCCCGGGCUUAACCUGGGCGCUGCAUUUGAAACUGAUGGUCUUGAGUGCUGGAGAGGAAAGCGGAAUUCCGAGUGUAGAGGUGAAAUUCGUAGAUAUUCGGAGGAACACCAGUGGCGAAGGCGGCUUACUGGUCCAUUACUGACGCUGAGGUGCGAAAGCGUGGGGAGC